RNAcentral lists this ribosomal RNA (253 nucleotides) under uncultured bacterium. Its description in RNAcentral is "partial 16S ribosomal RNA". It matches the Rfam family "Bacterial small subunit ribosomal RNA", at positions 524 to 776 of the family's 1533-position model. The record is from RNAcentral.
GACGUAGGGCGCAAGCGUUGUCCGGAUUUAUUGGGCGUAAAGAGCUCGUAGGCGGCUUGUUGCGUCGUCCGUGAAAACCCGCAGCUCAACUGCGGGCUUGCGGACGAUACGGGCAGGCUGGAGUUCGGUAGGGGAGACUGGAAUUCCUGGUGUAGCGGUGAAAUGCGCAGAUAUCAGGAGGAACACCGGUGGCGAAGGCGGCUUGCUGGGCCAGUUCUGACGCUGAGGAGCGAAAGCGUGGGGAGCGAACAGG